GUUUGCUGUUUGCAGCCACCAUGAGCUGUGGCCUAGCCAUGCCCACCUGCCUUGGAGCCAACUGAGUGUGGACUGAAACUUACAAAAACUAGUCAGCUGUGGAGGAGUGCAAAAGGUCUGUCUGCGCACUGGAGAUCGGAAGGGUCCAAUCAGAGGCCUGGAGUCCACUGUAGUGUCCUAGUCCAGAGAACCGUGGGAAGAAAGCGAACUCUCCAAGGUGGGUGCUGCAGAGAGGCCAGUGCUGGACAUGAGGAGAGGACAGAAGGGGAAUUCUCUGUCAGAUAAGUGAUGCUGUCGGAGUGGAAGCUGGAACGGCCACACAGCUUCAAACAUGGCUAAUUUUUGUUUAACAUCAAUGAAAAAAAGCCAAAAUUUUCUGUUACUUACAGUUUACAAAAGUAUUUUAUGUACCAUACCUCAACUGAUUUCCAAAACCCUGCAAAUGUAAUUACGCCCAUUACAAAGGUAAGAAAAGUUGGGUCUGAGAGGCUAAAACAGUUUGCAGAGCAGAACCUCAGAAUUUGAACCCAGAACUCCUGAUAAGGUCCAGAGCUUUUUCUCUUCUCCCACAUUCUCUCCAAUGUAUAUUUUAUUCUCUUUCUGCUGCUGUUCUCUUUAUAUCUUUCUCCUCUGCUAUUUUGGAACGGCUGGUAGUUUCCUUCCUCAUUUGAAACCACAAGGUUCUUACUGACCAAGAAGCAAAAGACUAAAAUAUUUCAUUUAUUCUUUUUCUUUGAUAUGACAGAAGAUGAAGAACUUUUAGAGACACUUCAAAUCCAUUUUCCUCAGAAUAGCAUUUCUAUUUGGUCUGCAGAUUAACAUCAUGACUCAUAAUCUGGUAUGGCUGGGAUUUAAGAAGCCAAAUUUGGUAGUAAAUUCUCAGCCACAAAAACAUACAAAUUAUGGAGCUGCUGUCAUUGUU
Molecule: long non-coding RNA, 922 nt
Organism: Cavia porcellus (domestic guinea pig)
Lineage: Eukaryota; Metazoa; Chordata; Mammalia; Rodentia; Caviidae
Exons: 3
Source: RefSeq, a predicted model, not a curated record